RNAcentral lists this ribosomal RNA (551 nucleotides) under uncultured Diversispora. RNAcentral's name for it is "SSU rRNA". It matches the Rfam family "Eukaryotic small subunit ribosomal RNA", at positions 548 to 1098 of the family's 1831-position model. The record is from RNAcentral. Lineage: Eukaryota; Fungi; Glomeromycota; Glomeromycetes; Diversisporales; Diversisporaceae.
UUGGAGGGCAAGUCUGGUGCCAGCAGCCGCGGUAAUUCCAGCUCCAAUAGCGUAUAUUAAAGUUGUUGCAGUUAAAAAGCUCGUAGUUGAACUUCGGGGUCUACCCAUUGGUCAGGCUUAAUUGUCUGCACUGGUGAGAUGGAUCUCUACCUUCUGAGGAACUUUCAUGCCAUUUAUUUGGUGUGAUGGGAAAUCAGGACUGUUACUUUGAAAAAAUUAGAGUGUUUAAAGCAGACUAUCGUCUGAAUACAUUAGCAUGGAAUAAUGAAAUAGGACGGACUGAUUCUAUUUCGUUGGUUUCUAGGAUCACCGUAAUGACUAAUAGGGAUAGUUGGGGGCAUUAGUAUUCAAUUGUCAGAGGUGAAAUUCUUGGAUUUAUUGAAGACUAACUACUGCGAAAGCAUUUGCCAAGGAUGUUUUCAUUAAUCAAGAACGAAAGUUAGGGGAUCGAAGACGAUCAGAUACCGUCGUAGUCUUAACCAUAAACUAUGCCGACUAGGGAUCGGACGAUGUUAAUUUUUUAAUGACUCGUUCGGCGCCUUACGGGAAAC